This 466-nucleotide ribosomal RNA is filed under the name uncultured bacterium. Its description in RNAcentral is "partial 16S ribosomal RNA". It matches the Rfam family "Bacterial small subunit ribosomal RNA", at positions 29 to 507 of the family's 1533-position model. The record is from RNAcentral.
ACGAACGCUGGCGGCGUGCUUAACACCUGCAAGUCGAACGGAAAGGCCUCUUUCGGGGGGUACUCGAGUGGCGAACGGGUGAGUAACACGUGAGUAACCUGCCCUUGACUUUGGGAUAACUUCAGGAAACUGGGGCUAAUACCGGAUAGGAGCUCCUGCUGCAUGGUGGGGGUUGGAACGUUUCGGCGGUUGGGGAUGGACUCGUGGCUUAUCAGCUUGUUGGUGGGGUAGUGGCUUACCAAGGCUUUGACGGGUAGCCGGCCUGAGAGGGUGACCGGCCACAUUGGGACUGGGAUACGGCCCAGACUCCUACGGGGGGAAGCAGUGGGGAAUAUUGCACAAGGGGUGGAAGCCUGAUGCAGCAACGCCGUGUGCGGGAUGACGGCCUUCGGGUUGGAAACCGCUUUCGCUCAUGACGAAGCUUUGUGUGACGGUAGUGGGUAAAGAAGCACCGGCUAACUACGUG